RNAcentral lists this ribosomal RNA (465 nucleotides) under Vreelandella stevensii. RNAcentral describes it as "partial 16S ribosomal RNA". It matches the Rfam family "Bacterial small subunit ribosomal RNA", at positions 338 to 795 of the family's 1533-position model. The record is from RNAcentral. Lineage: Bacteria; Pseudomonadati; Pseudomonadota; Gammaproteobacteria; Oceanospirillales; Halomonadaceae.
CCUACGGGUGACUGCAGUGGGGAAUAUUGGACAAUGGGCGAAAGCCUGAUCCAGCCAUGCCGCGUGUGUGAAGAAGGCCUUCGGGUUGUAAAGCACUUUCAGUGGGGAAGAAAGCCUUGGGGCUAAUACCCUCGAGGAAGGACAUCACCCACAGAAGAAGCACCGGCUAACUCCGUGCCAGCAGCCGCGGUAAUACGGAGGGUGCGAGCGUUAAUCGGAAUUACUGGGCGUAAAGCGCGCGUAGGCGGUCUGAUAAGCCGGUUGUGAAAGCCCCGGGCUCAACCUGGGAACGGCAUCCGGAACUGUCAGGCUAGAGUGCAGGAGAGGAAGGUAGAAUUCCCGGUGUAGCGGUGAAAUGCGUAGAGAUCGGGAGGAAUACCAGUGGCGAAGGCGGCCUUCUGGACUGACACUGACGCUGAGGUGCGAAAGCGUGGGUAGCAAACAGGAUUAGAUACCCUAGUAGUC